AGCCAGCGCGGCCGUAGGCCGCGCGCGGAGCCCCAUAGAUAUAGAAAUGGUCUAUAACUAGGCGACUCAGUUUUUGUGGUCAAUGACGUCAUUGUCACAAGCUGCCAUCCAUCCAGCCAGCCGCGAUCUGCCUCGGCACAGGCCUCUAGAGCGCGCAAAACAAUAUGGCGGAUGAGUAUUUCUGUCCCUCUCAAAAACACACGAAAACGACUGCAGAAAAGCCAAGAAUUGUCGAAUAAGAAGAGCUUGAAAACAAUCAUUCGUGGGAAUGCUAACCACGGAUAUGAACUUGUCUAAUUACGUGCAAAAGACUGUGUAAAAGCAUGGUUAAAAGUUUUGAAGAAUCAGUCUUGUGCUCGAGUCAAGGUCAGCUGAAAUUUCAGAGUAAGCCACAAGAUAAAGAAAGAAAAAACAAGCUAAUUUUAUAGACACCUUCUCCGAAAAGUGCUCCUAUGUUUUGUUCUUGCACUGGCAGACGGAGGUUAAUCUCAGCCAGAGAUUCUGAAAUCAAGCUGAGACACAAGCUGCUGGCUAAGAGGCAUUACCCAGGGCAGGAUGUACAUAUAAGGCAUUGGUAUUUAAUGUAGGUCACCAAAAAUAAACACAUAUAAAGUAACAAAAAGUAAGAUUAUAUUUUAAUGGAAAAAUGGUUCUAAAAAAUGAACCAGAGUUAUAAA
This is a long non-coding RNA of Nematostella vectensis (starlet sea anemone), 677 nucleotides long. RefSeq lists it as uncharacterized. The transcript is spliced from 2 exons. NCBI's taxonomy places the organism in Eukaryota, Metazoa, Cnidaria, Anthozoa, Actiniaria, Edwardsiidae. The record is from RefSeq and is a predicted model, not a curated record.